CGCGUAGGUAACCUGCCUGGUAGCGGGGGAUAACUAUUGGAAACGAUAGCUAAUACCGCAUAAGAGUAGAUGUUGCAUGACAUUUACUUAAAAGGUGCAAUUGCAUCACUACCAGAUGGACCUGCGUUGUAUUAGCUAGUUGGUGGGGUAACGGCUCACCAAGGCGACGAUACAUAGCCGACCUGAGAGGGUGAUCGGCCACACUGGGACUGAGACACGGCCCAG
RNAcentral lists this ribosomal RNA (225 nucleotides) under uncultured bacterium. RNAcentral describes it as "partial 16S ribosomal RNA". It matches the Rfam family "Bacterial small subunit ribosomal RNA", at positions 114 to 334 of the family's 1533-position model. The record is from RNAcentral.